Molecule: ribosomal RNA, 253 nt
Filed under: uncultured bacterium
Lineage: Bacteria
Description: partial 16S ribosomal RNA
Rfam family: Bacterial small subunit ribosomal RNA
Source: RNAcentral
UACGUAGGGGGCUAGCGUUGUCCGGAAUCAUUGGGCGUAAAGCGCGUGUAGGCGGUCCGGUAAGUCCGCUGUGAAAGUCGAGGGCUCAACCCUCGAAUGCCGGUGGAUACUGUCGGGCUAGAGUGCGGAAGAGGCGAGUGGAAUUCCUGGUGUAGCGGUGAAAUGCGCAGAUAUCAGGAAGAACACCAAUGGCGAAAGCAGCUCUCUGGGACGGUACUGACGCUGAGACGCGAAAGCGUGGGGAGCGAACAGG